Molecule: transfer RNA, 86 nt
Filed under: Candidatus Jordarchaeia archaeon
Lineage: Archaea; Promethearchaeati; Candidatus Jordarchaeia
Description: tRNA-Ser
Rfam family: tRNA
About the family: Transfer RNA (tRNA) molecules are approximately 80 nucleotides in length.
Source: RNAcentral
GCAGGAGUAGCCAAGUGGUAAGGCGCUGGCCUGCUAAGCCAGUUCUCCGAUGGAGAGCGCGGGUUCGAACCCCGCCUCCUGCGCCA